GGCUGGUCUGAUGGUAGUGGGUUAUCAGAACUUAUUAAUAUUAGUGUCACUAAAGUUGGUAUACAACCCCCCACUGCUAAAUUUGACUGACUUUAA
This is a Y RNA of Pongo abelii (Sumatran orangutan), 96 nucleotides long. It matches the Rfam family "Y RNA". From Rfam's summary of the family: Y RNAs are components of the Ro ribonucleoprotein particle (Ro RNP), in association with Ro60 and La proteins. The Y RNAs and Ro60 and La proteins are well conserved, but the function of the Ro RNP is not known. The record is from Ensembl. NCBI's taxonomy places the organism in Eukaryota, Metazoa, Chordata, Mammalia, Primates, Hominidae.